This 651-nucleotide ribosomal RNA is filed under the name Bacillus sp. GWS-BW-H222. RNAcentral describes it as "bacterial SSU rRNA". It matches the Rfam family "Bacterial small subunit ribosomal RNA", at positions 79 to 715 of the family's 1533-position model. Lineage: Bacteria; Bacillati; Bacillota; Bacilli; Caryophanales; Bacillaceae. The record is from RNAcentral.
UUGCUCCCUUAGGUCAGCGGCGGKCGGGUGAGUAACACGUGGGUAACCUGCCUGUAAGACUGGGAUAACUCCGGGAAACCGGGGCUAAUACCGGAUGCUUGAUUGAACCGCAUGGUUCAAUCAUAAAAGGUGGCUUUUAGCUACCACUUACAGAUGGACCCGCGGCGCAUUAGCUAGUUGGUGAGGUAACGGCUCACCAAGGCGACGAUGCGUAGCCGACCUGAGAGGGUGAUCGGCCACACUGGGACUGAGACACGGCCCAGACUCUACGGGAGGCAGCAGUAGGGAAUCUUCCGCAAUGGACGAAAGUCUGACGGAGCAACGCCGCGUGAGUGAUGAAGGUUUUCGGAUCGUAAAACUCUGUUGUUAGGGAAGAACAAGUACCGUUCGAAUAGGGCGGCACCUUGACGGUACCUAACCAGAAAGCCACGGCUAACUACGUGCCAGCAGCCGCGGUAAUACGUAGGUGGCAAGCGUUGUCCGGAAUUAUUGGGCGUAAAGCGCGNGCAGGCGGUUUCUUAAGUCUGAUGUGAAAGCCCCCGGCUCAACCGGGGAGGGUCAUUGGAAACUGGGGAACUUGAGUGCAGAAGAGGAGAGUGGAAUUCCACGUGUAGCGGUGAAAUGCGUAGAGAUGUGGAGGAACACCAGUGG